UCCUACGGGAGGCAGCAGUGGGGAAUAUUGCACAAUGGGGGGAACCCUGAUGCAGCCAUGCCGCGUGUGUGAAGAAGGCCUUCGGGUUGUAAAGCACUUUCAGUUGUGAGGAAAGGUUAGUAGUUAAUACCUGCUAGCUGUGACGUUAGCAACAGAAGAAGCACCGGCUAACUCCGUGCCAGCAGCCGCGGUAAUACGGAGGGUGCGAGCGUUAAUCGGAAUUACUGGGCGUAAAGCGCACGCAGGCGGUUUGUUAAGCUAGAUGUGAAAGCCCCGAGCUCAACUUGGGAUGGUCAUUUAGAACUGGCAGACUAGAGUCUUGGAGAGGGGAGUGGAAUUUCUGGUGUAGCGGUGAAAUGCGUAGAUAUUAGAAGGAACAUCAGUGGCGAAGGCGACUCCCUGGCCAAAGACUGACGCUCAUGUGCGAAAGUGUGGGUAGCGAACAGGAUUAGAUACCCUGGUAGUCCACACCGUAAACGCUGUCUACUAGCUGUUUGUGAGUUUAACUCGUGAGUAGCGAAGCUAACGCGCUAAGUAGACCGCCUGGGGAGUACGGCCGCAAGGUUAAAACUC
RNAcentral lists this ribosomal RNA (573 nucleotides) under uncultured bacterium. RNAcentral's name for it is "bacterial SSU rRNA". It matches the Rfam family "Bacterial small subunit ribosomal RNA", at positions 337 to 902 of the family's 1533-position model. The record is from RNAcentral.